ACCGGCGUCGCGAUCUCCGCAGGACCCGACGCACUUCCUCCCGCCCUUAGGACGCCGCAGCCGGUCGGGUAGCUGCGCGAGUCGGCCAUGAGGACGGACACCGGAAGGUGGCCGGUGGCGUUCUUCGUGUUCGUCGCCGGUCGUUAUCCAGUCCGCCCGUGGCGCGACACCCGACCGAGGUCGAAGGUCCCGGUUAGGACCUCGCCGUCCCCUCCCCAGUGGUCGAGCAGGAACGCCGGCAGGCGCUUCCCCGGCAGUCCGUCCCACUCUCCGAGUGGCCGGUCGUCGGGUGACGCCGUUGGCGAGGACGUUUCCUGCGUGGGGUCUGUUCAGGCGGCUAGCGGCGAGUAGGUCGGUCACCCACCCGACCCGUCUUGAAACACGGACCAAGGAGUCUAACAUGUGCGCGAGUCAUUGGGUCUUGAUUAGGCCCAGAGGCGCAAUGAAAGUGAAGGCCGUCC
This 461-nucleotide ribosomal RNA is filed under the name Caribena versicolor. RNAcentral's name for it is "eukaryotic LSU rRNA". The record is from RNAcentral. Lineage: Eukaryota; Metazoa; Arthropoda; Arachnida; Araneae; Theraphosidae.